RNAcentral lists this ribosomal RNA (475 nucleotides) under uncultured bacterium. Its description in RNAcentral is "partial 16S ribosomal RNA". It matches the Rfam family "Bacterial small subunit ribosomal RNA", at positions 28 to 523 of the family's 1533-position model. The record is from RNAcentral.
GGUGAACGCUGGCGGCGUGCUUAAGACAUGCAAGUCGAACGCAGUCUUCGGACUGAGUGGCGCACGGGUGAGUAACACGUAACUGACCUACCCCCAAGUCGCGGAUAACUGGCCGAAAGGUCAGCUAAUACGUGAUGUGAUGUCCCCUUUCUGGGGGGCCAUUAAAGGUUUACUGCUUGGGGAUGGGGUUGCGUUCCAUCAGCUAGUUGGCGGGGUAAAGGCCCACCAAGGCAACGACGGAUAGCCGGCCUGAGAGGGUGGCCGGCCACAGGGGAACUGAGACACGGGUCCCACUCCUCCGGGAGGCAGCAGUUAGGAAUCUUCCACAAUGGGCGAAAGCCUGAUGGAGCGACGCCGCGUGAGGGAUGAAGGUUCUCGGAUCGUAAACCUCUGAAUCAGGGACGAAAGACGCGUAAGCGGGAUGACGGUACCUGAGUAAUAGCACCGGCUAACUCCGUGCCAGCAGCCGCCGUAA